RNAcentral lists this ribosomal RNA (442 nucleotides) under uncultured bacterium. RNAcentral describes it as "partial 16S ribosomal RNA". It matches the Rfam family "Bacterial small subunit ribosomal RNA", at positions 338 to 795 of the family's 1533-position model. The record is from RNAcentral.
CCUACGGGAGGCAGCAGUGAGGAAUAUUGGUCAAUGGACGAGAGUCUGACCCAGCAACGCCGCGUGAAGGAAGAAGGCUUUCGGGUUGUAAACUUCUUUUAAGGGGGAAGAGCAGAAGACGGUACCCCUUGAAUAAGCCACGGCUAACUACGUGCCAGCAGCCGCGGUAAUACGGAGGUGGCAAGCGUUGUCCGGAUUUACUGGGUGGAAAGGGCGUGCAGCCGGAGAGACAAGUCAGAUGUGAAAUCCACGGGCUCAACCCGUUGACUGCAUUUGAAACUGUUUCCCUUGAGUGUCGGAGGUGUAAUCGGAAUUCCUUGUGUAGCGGUGAAAUGCGUAGAUAUAAGGAAGAACACCAGGGGCGAAGGCGGAUUACUGGACGAUAACUGACGGUGAGGCGCGAAAGCGUGGGGAGCAAACAGGAUUAGAUACCCCUGUAGUC